Molecule: ribosomal RNA, 253 nt
Filed under: uncultured bacterium
Lineage: Bacteria
Description: partial 16S ribosomal RNA
Rfam family: Bacterial small subunit ribosomal RNA
Source: RNAcentral
UACAGAGGGUGCAAGCGUUAAUCGGAAUUACUGGGCGUAAAGCGUGCGUAGGCGGAUAAUUAAGUCAGAUGUGAAAGCCCUGGGCUCAACCUAGGAAUUGCAUCUGAAACUGGUAAUCUAGAGUAUGGUAGAGGAUAGUGGAAUUUCUGGUGUAGCGGUGAAAUGCGUAGAUAUCAGAAGGAACACCAGUGGCGAAGGCGACUAUCUGGGCCAAUACUGACGCUGAGGUACGAAAGCAUGGGUAGCAAACAGG